This 412-nucleotide ribosomal RNA is filed under the name Acinetobacter baumannii OIFC032. RNAcentral's name for it is "bacterial SSU rRNA". It matches the Rfam family "Bacterial small subunit ribosomal RNA", at positions 30 to 442 of the family's 1533-position model. Lineage: Bacteria; Pseudomonadati; Pseudomonadota; Gammaproteobacteria; Moraxellales; Moraxellaceae. The record is from RNAcentral.
AUUGAACGCUGGCGGCAGGCUUAACACAUGCAAGUCGAGCGGGGGAAGGUAGCUUGCUACUGGACCUAGCGGCGGACGGGUGAGUAAUGCUUAGGAAUCUGCCUAUUAGUGGGGGACAACAUCUCGAAAGGGAUGCUAAUACCGCAUACGUCCUACGGGAGAAAGCAGGGGAUCUUCGGACCUUGCGCUAAUAGAUGAGCCUAAGUCGGAUUAGCUAGUUGGUGGGGUAAAGGCCUACCAAGGCGACGAUCUGUAGCGGGUCUGAGAGGAUGAUCCGCCACACUGGGACUGAGACACGGCCCAGACUCCUACGGGAGGCAGCAGUGGGGAAUAUUGGACAAUGGGGGGAACCCUGAUCCAGCCAUGCCGCGUGUGUGAAGAAGGCCUUAUGGUUGUAAAGCACUUUAAGCGU